Molecule: microRNA, 24 nt
Filed under: Chiloscyllium plagiosum (whitespotted bambooshark)
Lineage: Eukaryota; Metazoa; Chordata; Chondrichthyes; Orectolobiformes; Hemiscylliidae
Description: microRNA PC-5p-1503565_1
Source: RNAcentral
UUAGCAGCACGUAAAUAUUGGAGU